UACUGUCUCUCCUCCACCCAGUUCCUUUCCUCAGUUUUACUGUCUCCGUUUCUCUCUUUCUCAAUCUCUCCAGGUAUCUAUGUCCCUACCCUUUGCUUUGGUCGCCGAAAUAUAUUGGGUUUUGGUGCUUUUCCUCAGCACAUCUGUCUUCCAUUGUGUUUUUUCUGUUUGGAUCAUCUAGGGUUAGGAAUAUAUGAUCUAAGGUGGUUGGUAGGUCGAGACUGUUUCCUGAGUUAUGCGAACUUCAUGGGCUGAUUCCGUUGCGAACGCCGAGAGCUCGGCGUGUGCGAUCGGUGCUUCUGUAAGCAUAAGCAACACUGGCAACACCAACGCCACUGCUGCUGUGGUCAUUGCCGCCCCUCGCCCUGUUCGCGCUGCCUACGUCCUUCCAACGGUGUGCAGUCUUCCAAACUCCCAGCGCCAGCCCCUGUCUAUGGUCCUUCUGCAGCCAAAUUACCAUCUGGGCCUAGAGCGCCUUCUGGAGGAGACCGAUGGGGUGGUGGCUCUACUCGAGAUGCAGGACGCCCUGGCUUUGCUGGCGGCCGGGGUGGAGGAGGUGGUUGGGGCUCAAGGAGCGUUGGGUGGGAUCGGAGGAAGCGUGAGAAGAACCCUUUCGCAGAUGACGAAGAAACCACUGAAGUCGCGUUUGAUGGUCGGGAGACUACUGGCAUAAAUUUUAAUCCAUACGGGAGGCAUACCUAUGGUGGUGAGCGGUGCGAAUGUGACUCCGCCGGUGAGCACAUUUGCUGAGAUUGAUUUGGGGGAUGAAAACACACCUGUGGAGGUGAGCCAUGUUAUUCCCAUCUUGCUAGCUGGACGAGACCUGAUGGUCUGUGCUCAGACUGGGUCAGAAAAGGCAGCAGCUUUCUGCUUUCCAAUUAUUAGUGGGAUCAUAAGGGGACCACCUUUCACAGUGGCAGCGGGGCUCGAGGGCAGUGUAUCCUCCUGCGCUUAUCUUGUCACCUACCCGUGAGCUCUCGGUUCAAAUGUUGAUAAUUUACAAGAUAGAACCACUUUCCUAAAGUCUGACUGCCCAGUCGCAAAAAUGAUCCUGAAGUUGUUGAAGCACAAGAAGAAGAGCAAAAGACAAUUGAUCAAAAGAGAAGUUGGUAAACUUUUGCAUUAUUAAUUUGGAUUAUCUGUUAGGUCUUUUUAACACCCAUCAUUCAUCUAAAAAGUCUUAGUCAAAUCAUCAACUUCUUGUACUUCUUUAUCUGUUGUUCUCUACCAUUUAUUAUUGCAUUAAUUUCUUCAAAAUAAAUUAAUGAUACUGUAUAUGAGCUUUAUAUGUAGAUUUCCUUGUAUGCCUCUAAUAUAACGUAUUCUGUGUUGGUUUCUGUUAUUGACAUCUUAGAGACAUGAGGAGGCUAGAAAGUUCUCCUACCAGACUGGUGGAUCCCCAAACAAUUAGCAGACACUAGUUGCGAAGGAGGAUAUAAACAAUUGGAUUGAUCGGAGAUUGCCACUGCCAGUUUGUGAGUGACUACGCAGCAUGCUGCAUGCAUUCCACUAUAGGAGCAACAGUGGAAAACAAUGACAGAUGGUUACCUCAGGAAGCGUGCCAUGUUGCACGACAAAAAAAAACCCAUCAUAUAGUGAUUUGAGGAGCGCGAAUCCCCAGGAACGGGAACGAGCACUCAGAUCCUUCAAGAGUGGUGCUACUCCAAUUCUAAUUGGUGGUCAGAUUUUUUAGGGAUAAAUUAGUAGUGUAUUAUAUGUUUGAAUUGUUCGGUUGGUAUCAUGCACACAAACUAUUAUCUGAUGAUGGGGUUUUUGCGAGCUCUGUAAUGUUAUCUUACCCUAAGA
This is a long non-coding RNA of Musa acuminata AAA Group (dessert banana), 1806 nucleotides long. RefSeq lists it as uncharacterized. NCBI's taxonomy places the organism in Eukaryota, Viridiplantae, Streptophyta, Magnoliopsida, Zingiberales, Musaceae. The record is from RefSeq and is a predicted model, not a curated record. The transcript is spliced from 4 exons.